This 468-nucleotide ribosomal RNA is filed under the name uncultured bacterium. Its description in RNAcentral is "partial 16S ribosomal RNA". It matches the Rfam family "Bacterial small subunit ribosomal RNA", at positions 28 to 507 of the family's 1533-position model. The record is from RNAcentral.
GACGAACGCUGGCGGCGUGCUUAACACAUGCAAGUCGAACGGAAAGGCCCUGCUUUUGUGGGGUGCUCGAGUGGCGAACGGGUGAGUAACACGUGAGUAACCUGCCCUUGACUUUGGGAUAACUUCAGGAAACUGGGGCUAAUACCGGAUAGGAGCUCCUGCUGCAUGGUGGGGGUUGGAAAGUUUCGGCGGUUGGGGAUUGACUCGCGGCUUAUCAGCUUGUUGGUGGGGUAGUGGCUUACCAAGGCUUUGACGGGUAGCCGGCCUGAGAGGGUUACCGGCCACAUUGGGACUGAGAUACGGCCCAGACUACUACGGGAGGCAGCAGUGGGGAAUAUUGCAAAAUGGGAGGAAGCCUGAUGCAGCAACGCCGCGUGCGGGAUGACGGCCUUCGGGUUGUAAACCGCUUUCGCCUGUGACGAAGCGUGAGUGACGGUAAUGGGUAAAGAAGCACCGGCUAACUACGUG